CGCACAGGUUGAGAUCAUGUGUUGUGCCAGAAACAACACAACCCCAAUUGAGCAACACCUCUUUACGCUUCUUCCCGAUUGGCUGUGGCGCCAGGUUCAACCAGAACCCGAGUCGACGCAGCAACCUCUCAUGCCUGAUGACCAUAGCGAGUUGGUCCCACCCCUUCCCAUCCCGAACAGGACCGUGAAACAACUCCACGCCGAUGAUAGUGCGGAUUGCCCGUGUGAAAGUAGGUAAUCGUCAGGC
RNAcentral lists this ribosomal RNA (247 nucleotides) under Paraburkholderia unamae. Lineage: Bacteria; Pseudomonadati; Pseudomonadota; Betaproteobacteria; Burkholderiales; Burkholderiaceae. The record is from RNAcentral.